GUUGUAUGGUUAAGUGACUAAGCGUACACGGUGGAUGCCUAGGCAAUCAGAGGCGAAGAAGGACGUGCUAAUCUGCGAAAAGCUUGGAUGAGUUGAUAAGAGGCGAAUAAUCCAAGAUAUCCGAAUGGGGAAACCCGAUGGAUGAAGAAUCCAUCAUUCUUAAAUGAAUACAUAGUUUAAGAAAGCGAACCGGGAGAACUGAAACAUCUAAGUACCCCGAGGAAAAGAAAUCAACCGAGAUUUUGUGAGUAGCGGCGAGCGAAAGCGAAAGAGCCUGCAAGUGAUAGCGACAGAGAUAGAGGAAGCAAUUGGGAAAUUGCGCGAUACAGGGUGAUAGCCCCGUACUUGAAAUCCAUGUUGUGGUACUGAGCUUGCGAGAAGUAGGGCGGGACACGAGAAAUCCUGUUUGAAGAAGGGGGGACCAUCCUCCAAGGCUAAAUACUCCUGAUUGACCGAUAGUGAACCAGUACUGUGAAGGAAAGGCGAAAAGAACCGGGGUGACCGGAGUGAAAUAGAACCUGAAACCGUGUACGUACAAGCAGUGGGAGCCUGAAAGGGUGACUGCGUACCUUUUGUAUAAUGGGUCAGCGACUUAUAUUUUGUAGCGAGGUUAACUGAAUAAGGGAGCCGAAGGGAAACCGAGUCUUAACUGGGCGGAUAGUUGCAAGGUAUAGACCCGAAACCCGGUGAUCUAGCCAUGGGCAGGUUGAAGGUUGGGUAACACUAACUGGAGGACCGAACCGACUAAUGUUGAAAAAUUAGCGGAUGACUUGUGGCUGGGGGUGAAAGGCCAAUCAAACCGGGAGAUAGCUGGUUCUCCCCGAAAUCUAUUUAGGUAGAGCCUUGAGCGGACACCUUCGGGGGUAGAGCACUGUUUCGGCUAGGGGGCCAUCCCGGCUUACCAACCCGAUGCAAACUGCGAAUACCGAAGAGUGAUACUCAGGAGACACACGGCGGGUGCUAACGUCCGUCGUGGAGAGGGAAACAACCCAGACCGCCAGCUAAGGUCCCAAAGUCUAUAUUAAGUGGGAAACGAAGUGGGAAGGCUUAGACAGCUAGGAUGUUGGCUUAGAAGCAGCCAUCAUUUAAAGAAAGCGUAAUAGCUCACUAGUCGAGUCGGCCUGCGCGGAAGAUGUAACGGGGCUAAAAUAUAGCACCGAAGCUGCGGCAUCAAUGGAAACAUUGUUGGGUAGGGGAGCGUUGUGUAAGCGGAAGAAGGUGAAUUGAGAGGUUUGCUGGACGUAUCACAAGUGCGAAUGCUGACAUAAGUAACGAUAAAACGAGUGAAAAACUCGUUCGCCGGAAGACCAAGGGUUCCUGUCCAACGUUAAUCGGGGCAGGGUGAGUCGGCCCCUAAGGCGAGGCUGAAAAGCGUAGUCGAUGGGAAACGGGUUAAUAUUCCCGUACUUGGAUAAACUGCGAUGUGGGGACGGAGAAGGUUAGGUUAGCAGACUGUUGGAUGUCUGUUUAAGUUGGUAGGUGGGGAGCUUAGGCAAAUCCGGGCUUCUAUUAACACUGAGAGAUGAUGACGAGGCUCUAAGGAGCUGAAGUAACUGAUACCACGCUUCCAGGAAAAGCCACUAAGCUUCAGGUUUAUCUAAACCGUACUGAAAACCGACACAGGUGGUCAGGUAGAGAAUACUCAGGCGCUUGAGAGAACUCGGGUGAAGGAACUAGGCAAAAUAGCACCGUAACUUCGGGAGAAGGUGCGCUGGAGUAGGUUGUAGGGAUUAACUCCUGAAGGCUGAACCAGUCGAAGAUACCAGCUGGCUGCAACUGUUUAUUAAAAACACAGCACUCUGCAAACACGAAAGUGGAAGUAUAGGGUGUGAUGCCUGCCCGGUGCUGGAAGGUUAAUUGAUGGUGUAAUCGAAAGAGAAGCUCCUGAUCGAAGCCCCAGUAAACGGCGGCCGUAACUAUAACGGUCCUAAGGUAGCGAAAUUCCUUGUCGGGUAAGUUCCGACCUGCACGAAUGGCAUAAUGAUGGCCAGGCUGUCUCCACCCGAGACUCAGUGAAAUUGAAAUCGCCGUGAAGAUGCGGUGUACCCGCGGCUAGACGGAAAGACCCCGUGAACCUUUACUAUAGCUUGACACUGAACAUUGAAUUUUGAUGUGUAGGAUAGGUGGGAGACAGAGAAGUGUGAACGCCAGUUUGCAUGGAGUCGUUGUUGAAAUACCACCCUUUAACGUUUGAUGUUCUAACGAAGAUUACGAAACGUGGUCUCGGACAGUGUCUGGUGGGUAGUUUGACUGGGGCGGUCUCCUCCCAAAGAGUAACGGAGGAGCACGAAGGUUUGCUAAUCACGGUCGGACAUCGUGAGGUUAGUGCAAUGGUAUAAGCAAGCUUAACUGCGAGACGGACAAGUCGAGCAGGUGCGAAAGCAGGUCAUAGUGAUCCGGUGGUUCUGAAUGGAAGGGCCAUCGCUCAACGGAUAAAAGGUACUCCGGGGAUAACAGGCUGAUACCGCCCAAGAGUUCAUAUCGACGGCGGUGUUUGGCACCUCGAUGUCGGCUCAUCACAUCCUGGGGCUGAAGUAGGUCCCAAGGGUAUGGCUGUUCGCCAUUUAAAGUGGUACGCGAGCUGGGUUUAGAACGUCGUGAGACAGUUCGGUCCCUAUCUGCCGUGGGCGUUGGAUAAUUGAUUGGGGCUGCUCCUAGUACGAGAGGACCGGAGUGGACGCAUCACUGGUGUUCCGGUUGUGUCGCCAGACGCAUUGCCGGGUAGCUAAAUGCGGGAGAGAUAAGUGCUGAAAGCAUCUAAGCACGAAACUUGCCAAGAGAUGAGUUAUCCCAGUUAAUAAGACUGUAAGGGUUGUUUGAGACGAAGACGUAGAUAGGUGGGGUGUGUAAGUGUAGUGAUACAUUGAGCUAACCCAUACUAAUUGCCCGAGAGGCUUAACCAUACAACCUCAAGCGUUUUG
This 2921-nucleotide ribosomal RNA is filed under the name [Pasteurella] aerogenes. Its description in RNAcentral is "23S ribosomal RNA". It matches the Rfam family "Bacterial large subunit ribosomal RNA". The record is from RNAcentral. Lineage: Bacteria; Pseudomonadati; Pseudomonadota; Gammaproteobacteria; Pasteurellales; Pasteurellaceae.